RNAcentral lists this ribosomal RNA (253 nucleotides) under uncultured bacterium. RNAcentral's name for it is "partial 16S ribosomal RNA". It matches the Rfam family "Bacterial small subunit ribosomal RNA", at positions 524 to 776 of the family's 1533-position model. The record is from RNAcentral.
UACGGGGGGGGCAAGCGUUGUUCGGAAUUACUGGGCGUAAAGGGCUCGUAGGCGGCCAACUAAGUCGGACGUGAAAUCCCCAGGCUCAACCUGGGAACUGCGUCCGAUACUGGAUGGCUUGAAUCCGGGAGAGGGAUGCAGAAUUCCAGGUGUAGCGGUGAAAUGCGUAGAUAUCAGGAGGAACACCGGUGGCGAAGGCGGGUCUCUGGGCAACUACUGACGCUGAGGAGCGAAAGCGUGGGGAGCGAACAGG